CAGCAGGCUGCCAUGCCCAAGUACGCCUAGCAUGUCCAUCAAGCCACCCUAGAAUGUACCUCCUCCCAUGUAUACAAGCUCCCAGCCAAACCACCUUGUCAUUCAAAACAACCAACAUUGUUGCAUUCUCUUCAUUCUUCAUUUGAGGACUGCACAAGGAGAAGGGAGCCUUUAAUUCAUCCUGCCAAGUAUUCUCAAGGUAAGCUUGUCUUCAAUGCUCUACCUUCUUCCAUGAUUCCACCUGCAUUAAUGCAAAGAUCCAUUCCAUUAUUUCAGAAACACCUGCUGCUUGUUUUAUUCAACUGCAAUCUCCAACCAAAGCAAACUCUCAAGGCAUUUUACAGUUCACUACUCUCGUAUAUACAUUUCACACCCAACAGAGCAUGCUUCAAACAUUAGGAAAUCACAGUUCACAACCAACAACACAUUUAAGUUCAACUCCAUUAGGAAUACAGAAAAUGCGGCGCAUAACUUGAUCAGUUUCACAGAUGAUAAGAGAACCAUUAUAUGCAUACUUCACUGUACUCUAGAACACAAACAAGAGAGAACCCCAAGCUUCAAACCACAUGACAUAAUCAUAAUAGAAAGUUCAGUGCUUGGUGAUGUUUAUUGCAUAACCAUUUUGAAAAACGAGACUUUACAGUAGAGAUAUAGAUUGACUUAGCGUUUAGAGGGGGCGGGGCUACUGCGCUGUUCAGUCGGGCCGAGAGACGUCGAGUGGGAGGCGACUCGCGGGGACAGCAGCGUCGACGGCGUCG
This 758-nucleotide long non-coding RNA is filed under the name Salvia miltiorrhiza (redroot sage). RNAcentral describes it as "long non-coding RNA (SMIL_LNC007673)". The record is from RNAcentral. Lineage: Eukaryota; Viridiplantae; Streptophyta; Magnoliopsida; Lamiales; Lamiaceae.